Molecule: ribosomal RNA, 388 nt
Filed under: uncultured bacterium
Lineage: Bacteria
Description: bacterial SSU rRNA
Rfam family: Bacterial small subunit ribosomal RNA
Source: RNAcentral
AUUGAACGCUGGCGGCAUGCCUUACACAUGCAAGUCGAACGGCAGCACGGGAGCUUGCUCCUGGUGGCGAGUGGCGAACGGGUGAGUAAUACAUCGGAACGUACCCUGAAGUGGGGGAUAACGUAGCGAAAGUUACGCUAAUACCGCAUAUUCUGUGAGCAGGAAAGAGGGGGAUCGCAAGACCUCUUGCUUGAGGAGCGGCCGAUGUCGGAUUAGCUAGUUGGUGAGGUAAAGGCUCACCAAGGCGACGAUCCGUAGCGGGUCUGAGAGGAUGAUCGCCACACUGGGACUGAGACACGGCCCAGACUCCUACGGGAGGCAGCAGUGGGGAAUUUUGGACAAUGGGCGCAAGCCUGAUCCAGCCAUGCCGCGUGAGUGAAGAAGGCCU